UGGGGAUUAGCCAAGCGGUAAGGCAACGGACUCUGACUCCGUCACCAUAGGUUCAAAUCCUAUAUCCCCAGCCA
This 74-nucleotide transfer RNA is filed under the name Paenibacillus macquariensis subsp. macquariensis. RNAcentral describes it as "tRNA-Gln". It matches the Rfam family "tRNA". Rfam says of the family: Transfer RNA (tRNA) molecules are approximately 80 nucleotides in length. Lineage: Bacteria; Bacillati; Bacillota; Bacilli; Caryophanales; Paenibacillaceae. The record is from RNAcentral. RNAcentral also lists the same sequence under 8 other names.